RNAcentral lists this long non-coding RNA (607 nucleotides) under Cricetulus griseus (Chinese hamster). Its description in RNAcentral is "lncRNA (ENSCGRG00015016545.2)". Lineage: Eukaryota; Metazoa; Chordata; Mammalia; Rodentia; Cricetidae. The record is from RNAcentral.
CCCCGCCCAGGGCCUGGUGGUGGGCUCUGGAGGUGGUUGUGUAUUUCGCCGCCCUCGCCUGGCCUUCCUGCCUUACACCCUCAGGCUCUUCAGGCCGCAACUGUGUAGCACGCUGUGCUCACCUUCCUCCAACAGAGCUGCACCCCUCCUGAGAGCAAACUGAUGGUUUGUAACUCCCCCAUCCUUACUCCUUCUCAACCAUUGCCCUCUCUGGGCAUCUCUCCUUUCUUGAAGCACUUUGAAGGACCCUUCAAUCCCGUGAGCCCUCUGGAGAGUUGGGUAGGAUGUGAGCCAUGCAUGCCCAGGGUACCCAAACCUGGGCCACAGAGCCGAUCUCUCCCCAGUGCUGAGAAGCCAUACAAGGCCAAGUCCGGAAGGGAGCUAGACAGAUACAAGGAAUGAUGGGUGAUGUCAGACAGCCCGGCUGGCACCUCAGCCAAGAUGCUGGAGAGAUGGCUCGGAGGUUAAGAGCACUGACUGCUCUUCCAGAGGUCCUGAGUUCAAUUCCCAGCAACCACAUGGUGGCUCACAACCAUCUGUUAUGAGAUCUGGUGCCCUCUUCUUGUGUGCAGAUAUACAUGGAAGCAGAAUGUUGUAUACAUAAUAA